UCCUCUGGGGGGCUAACAUGAGGGCUUCUGGGUCCAGCUCAGAGAGGGAGCACCCUGGAGCAUGUGACAACUUCACUGCUCCUUCAGGACCCAGCCCUCGUCACCAUCCACCCGUCACUGGUUCUUCCGCACAAACGCUGGCAUCUCAGUCUGGAGAGACCUGCUUUCUUUCCUGGUCUUUGUUGUACCAGAUGAGCUGACCAGGGCAAGCAAUGUCCCGAAACAUCAGUGACUGCAGUGUGUAACUCCAGGACAGACACAGAACGGCCCUCGUGGAGAAGCACUCGCUAGAAUUUCUAGAUCUGUCUGACCCACCACCACUGGCCCUCUGAGCCCUCGGGGCUGUUAGAGGAAUCUUUCCUGUCAGGCCAGGUUCUGGGGAGAAGAAGAGGUUCUCCAGAACCACAGACCGCAGUGCAAGGACACAGAAGCUGACUGAGGACUCCCUUCUGGAGCUGCGGUGGGGGCCAGGAGGAAAAGAAUCAGAAUCUCAACACUAGUGAGAAGAUGGUCACAGGCCCAAGUGCAACUGUGACGGCACUAGAUGGAUGGAGAAGUGAAGCCAGGAACAAGGAACCUGGAACUAGAAGACCACAGAAGAACGUAUCCACGGUUCUCACUUGGAGUAAUUUGGUUUCAGUCCACGUGAAAUUAGAAUCCAGUGAGACAUGAACUCACAUUCUGAAACCUCUCAUGUGGGCUGCAAUCUCACAUUAGAUACGGGCAUUGAUAGUGAAAGUCUAAAGACACACAAUUAGUGACAGAGCCCUGCUCCCUACCUGAUACCACACAGGACUGCCAUUCCACCUCCCGUAAAUGAACUCAUCCACAAAUAGAAAUGAUCUCUUCCAUUUUCUUCUCUA
Molecule: non-coding RNA, 863 nt
Organism: Peromyscus maniculatus bairdii (prairie deer mouse)
Lineage: Eukaryota; Metazoa; Chordata; Mammalia; Rodentia; Cricetidae
Source: RefSeq, a predicted model, not a curated record